Molecule: ribosomal RNA, 449 nt
Filed under: uncultured bacterium
Lineage: Bacteria
Description: partial 16S ribosomal RNA
Rfam family: Bacterial small subunit ribosomal RNA
Source: RNAcentral
AACGAACGCUGGCGGCAUGCCUAACACAUGCAAGUCGAACGAGAUCUUCGGGUCUAGUGGCGCACGGGUGCGUAACGCGUGGGAAUCUGCCCUUUGGUUCGGAAUAACAGUUGGAGACGACUGCUAAUACCGGAUGAUGACGAAAGUCCAAAGAUUUAUCGCCAGAGGAUGAGCCCGCGUAGGAUUAGCUAGUUGGUGUGGUAAAGGCGCACCAAGGCGACGAUCCUUAGCUGAUCUGAGAGGAUGAUCAGCCACACUGGGACUGAGACACGGCCCAGACUCCUACGGGAGGCAGCAGUGGGGGAUAUUGGACAAUGGGCGAAAGCCUGAUCCAGCAAUGCCGCGUGAGUGAUGAAGGCCUUAGGGUUGUAAAGCUCUUUUACCCGGGAUGAUAAUGACAGUACCGGGAGAAUAAGCUCCGGCUAACUCCGUGCCAGCCGCCGCCGUAA